CUCUGGAGCAGAGCCAUCGCCCCCAGGACUGGGACUCAUUGUGGGACUCGCCGUCACAGCUGGCCUGGCACUGGGGCUGCUGGGGUGUUGUCUGAUGAAGACAGUUCUGUCGCACUGCAGGGCUCACAGGGAUCCCAGCCCAGACCGGAGCAGGCCAGCCACUGAAGAUCAGAUACAGUAUGCCGAGGUCACCAGAGUCGGAACUGUCCAGCCCGGGGUGGACAGGAACAUGGCAGUGACGUACGCGGUGGUGGGACAGGGUGGCUCUCGAGUUCAGGACACCCGGACGACUCCAUAGCUCUGGGAUUCCCAGUGCCCCACAAGCCUGCAUGAGCCCCACACUUACUGCCAGCCUGAGUGGAGCCCUGGGAAGGAGAUGGUGAUGGAGCCUGUUAACCAGCCAGCGAGAAGCAGCGUUUGAGCCAGUCGAUGGCACAGGGGAAGCUCAGACACUACGUGGGCAGCGGAAGCCGGGUGUGGCCGAGGCCAGGC
Molecule: long non-coding RNA, 492 nt
Organism: Mauremys reevesii (Reeves's turtle)
Lineage: Eukaryota; Metazoa; Chordata; Testudines; Geoemydidae
Exons: 7
Source: RefSeq, a predicted model, not a curated record